This 305-nucleotide ribosomal RNA is filed under the name uncultured bacterium. Its description in RNAcentral is "bacterial SSU rRNA". It matches the Rfam family "Bacterial small subunit ribosomal RNA", at positions 335 to 658 of the family's 1533-position model. The record is from RNAcentral.
AACCUACGGGAGGCAGCAGUGGGGAAUAUUGCACAAUGGGGGAAACCCUGAUGCAGCGACGCCGCGUGAGUGAAGAAGUAUUUCGGUAUGUAAAGCUCUAUCAGCAGGGAAGAAAAUGACGGUACCUGACUAAGAAGCACCGGCUAUAUACGUGCCAGCAGCCGCGGUAAUACGUAUGGUGCAAGCGUUAUCCGGAUUUACUGGGUGUAAAGGGAGCGCAGGCGGCACGGCAAGCCUGAUGUGAAAGCCCGCGGCCCAACCGCGGGACUGCAUUGGGAACUACCGGGCUGGAGUGCCGGAGAGGG